AGCGAACGCUGGCGGCAGGCCUAACACAUGCAAGUCGAACGAACUCUUCGGAGUUAGUGGCGGACGGGUGUGGCACCCGUGGGAACGUUCCCUUUGCUUCGGAAUAACUCAGGGAAACUUGUGCUAAUACCGAACGUGCCCUUCGGGGGAAAGAUUUAUCGAGCUUGGAGCGGCAGUCGUCGGAUUAGCUAGUUGGGGAGGUAACGGCUCACCACGGCGACGAUCAGCAGCUGGUCUGAGAGGAUGACCAGCCACACUGGGACUGAGACACGGCCCAGACUCCUACGGGAGGCAGCAGUGGGGAAUCGUGCGCAAUGGGCGAAAGCCUGACGCAGCCAUGCCGCGUGAAUGAUGAAGGUCUUAGGAUUGUAAAAUUCUUUCACCGGGGACGAUAAUGACGGUACCCGGAGAAGAAGCCCCGGCUAACUUCGUG
Molecule: ribosomal RNA, 433 nt
Filed under: uncultured bacterium
Lineage: Bacteria
Description: partial 16S ribosomal RNA
Rfam family: Bacterial small subunit ribosomal RNA
Source: RNAcentral